UCGAGAAUUUUUCUCAAUGGGGGAAACCCUGAAGGAGCGACGCCGCGUGGAGGAUGAAGGCUUUCGGGUUGUAAACUCCUGUCAUUUGAGAACAAGUGCUAGUAACUAAUUACUACUAGCUUGAUAGUAUCAGAAGAGGAAGAGACGGCUAACUCUGUGCCAGCAGCCGCGGUAAUACAGAGGUCUCAAGCGUUGUUCGGAUUCAUUGGGCGUAAAGGGUGCGUAGGUGGCGCGCUAAGUCAGGUGUGAAAUCUCGGGGCUUAACUCCGAAACUGCAUUUGAUACUGGCGUGCUUGAGGACUGGAGAGGAGACUGGAAUUCAUGGUGUAGCAGUGAAAUGCGUAGAGAUCAUGAGGAAGACCAGUGGCGAAGGCGGGUCUCUGGACAGUUCCUGACACUGAGGCACGAAGGCCAGGGGAGCAAACGGGAUUAGAUACCCCUGUAGUCC
RNAcentral lists this ribosomal RNA (448 nucleotides) under uncultured bacterium. RNAcentral describes it as "bacterial SSU rRNA". It matches the Rfam family "Bacterial small subunit ribosomal RNA", at positions 355 to 796 of the family's 1533-position model. The record is from RNAcentral.